This is an unclassified non-coding RNA of Pongo abelii (Sumatran orangutan), 147 nucleotides long. It matches the Rfam family "Metazoan signal recognition particle RNA". From Rfam's summary of the family: The signal recognition particle (SRP) is a universally conserved ribonucleoprotein. It is involved in the co-translational targeting of proteins to membranes. The record is from Ensembl. Lineage: Eukaryota; Metazoa; Chordata; Mammalia; Primates; Hominidae.
GCCGGGCGUGGUGGUGGGCGCCUGUAAUCCCAGCUACUUGGGAGGCUGAGGCAGGAGAAUCGCUUGAACCUGGGAGACGGAGGUUGCAGUGAGCCGAGAUCGGUCUCUGCACUCCAGCCUGGGUGACAGAGCAAGACUCUGUCUCAA